UGAGUAUAAAUGAAGGUUGCAAAUUUUGGUAAAUUUCCAAUCUGAUGAAUAUUACCGAAGUUUUCAUCCCAAUAUGACAUUGGUUGGGGAGGGAUGGUGGGAUGUCAAGAAGAAUCAGAUAUAUGUUGUUGCUUGCCAGAUAUUGAACACAACAAAUUUUCUGGCUAUUGCUCAUGUUGGAGGUUGUUCAAUUAGGUUGAGCUAGAGAUUUCCCAGAAUCUGGUCAAUCAGAAACAGGAGCAUGAUGGUGGGACAAAUUUGGGGUAACAAAACCAUAAAUCAUCCAGGAUACUUUGGCAGGAUCAUGUUUCAAAGUUCCAAUAAUAAUUUGCUGGGGGUUCAAGGUUUGAAGUAUGAGUACACUAAAAUUGACAGAGCAAAAAAUUUAUGCCAGAAAAAGAAGCCUGAAGGCAAGGGGUUAAUAUAUCCAAAUGUAUAUUCUAUUGAUAUGCAUUUUGGCACGUCAGUUAGAAAUUCUAAAGGGGUAAAGGCAUGGGAUUAUUCAGAACCCCUCUUUGUGGGUGAUAAGUUCUGUGACCCUUAUAAGUAUGCUAUACCUGUCUCAGAAAACUCAAGGUCUUCUGUGCCUAUCUCCACAUCAAUGCCAGCAAACUCUGAAGUUGAAGCAAAUACUGGUGAUAGUAGCCCACUGAAUAUCAGCUACAAGAUAAGCUUCAAUCUGGAACCUGGUGCUGAAUUUGGUGGUGUAUCCAUCCAUUUAAGUCAUCAUCAAGGAUUAAUGCACAAGUAGAAAUUUAUGCUGAAGGGAUUUAUGAUAUGAAGACUGGAGGCAUUUGUAUGGUCGGCCAAAACUAAGCUCCAUGAUUCAGCAAUUAACAGACGAUUCUAUGGAUUGUGAGAUUGUUGUGGAUCUGCAGUUUUAUCCAUUAAAUUCAGAGAAAGAAGGUCGUAUUAAUGGAAGCUUUGAAAGCAGACGGGAAAAUCUGACCCUCUUUACUUUGAACAUCCGGACUUGUCUUCAACUUAUAAUUUUUUUGAGGCAAGACAAUCAAUUUGGAGGAUGGAUUUGGAGAUCAUUAUGGUUCUGAUGUCUAACACAUUUUCCUGUGUCUUUCUGGGAUUGCAACUCUUCCAUGUGAAAAAGCAACCUGAGCUGCUUCCUUCCAUGUCUCUAGUCAUGCUUGUGAUUCUUAUUUUGGGCUACAUGAUCCCUCUUGUCCUAAAUUUUGAAGCUUUAUUCUUGCAAACCCAUACUCAGCUAAUUGUUUUGCUUGGAAGUGGUGGAUGGAUUAAAGUGAAAGAAGUGAUUGUGGGGGUGGUCACAAUGGUAGUUUUCCUGUUCCUAUUCUGUCUUCUCCAGUUCACAUGAUCAGCAAGAUUGACUGAUGAAGAAAAAAACGCCUUGUGGGUUGCUGAGAGGAAUUCUCUGACUUGAGACCUUAUGCUAGCAUGGUCCUUGAUGGUUUCCUUUUCCUUCAAAUCCUACUCAACAUGCUCAUGAACUCCAGAAAGCAAGUUCUCUCUCAUUCAUUUUAUAUUGGAAUCACUUUUGUUAGAUUACUGCCACAUGCAUAUGAUCUUUACAGAGCUCACAAUGAUAAACACAGUUUUGUUGGGUGAUAUGUUUAUGCGGUUCCUUGUGCUGACUUUUACUCAACUGCUUGGGAUGUCAUUAUUCUUUGUGGGGGUGUGCUGUUUUCUGCAUUCAUUUUCUUGCAGCAGAGGUUUGGCGGCCAUUUCAUCCUUCCCAAGAGACUUAAAGAGUUGGAAACAUAUGAGAAGGUGACAGUGGUUUGUGGUAAGUUAGAGGAAUCCAGUACUUAAUAAUCUGUUGUUUUUAUCUCUGUAAGCUCCAAUCUGGAUGCACAUGAGUUUGAAUAAUUCGGUCUUUAGUUUCUCUUGUACCUUUUGCUUGUAAGAGAAGUUGUAUUUCCUGAACCAUUAUUGGAUGCUGCUUUAUUUGACAA
Molecule: long non-coding RNA, 1928 nt
Organism: Vitis riparia (riverbank grape)
Lineage: Eukaryota; Viridiplantae; Streptophyta; Magnoliopsida; Vitales; Vitaceae
Exons: 2
Source: RefSeq, a predicted model, not a curated record